RNAcentral lists this ribosomal RNA (498 nucleotides) under uncultured bacterium. RNAcentral's name for it is "partial 16S ribosomal RNA". It matches the Rfam family "Bacterial small subunit ribosomal RNA", at positions 899 to 1397 of the family's 1533-position model. The record is from RNAcentral.
ACUCAAAUGAAUUGACGGGGGCCCGCACAAGCAGUGGAGCAUGUGGUUUAAUUCGAUGCAACGCGAAGAACCUUACCUGGGCUCGAAAUGCAGGAGACGACAUCAGAAAUGAUGUUUUCCGAAAGGACUGCUGUAUAGGUGCUGCAUGGCUGUCGUCAGCUCGUGCCGUGAGGUGUUGGGUUAAGUCCCGCAACGAGCGCAACCCUUAUCACUAGUUGCCAUCACGAAAGGUGGGGACUCUAGUGAGACUGCCUAGGUUAACUAGGAGGAAGGUGAGGAUGACGUCAAGUCCGCAUGGCCUUUAUGUCCAGGGCAACACACGUGCUACAAUGGUCGGUACAGAGGGCAGCCAAACCGUAAGGUGGAGCAAAUCCCAGAAAGCCGAUCUCAGUUCAGAUUGUGGUCUGCAACUCGACCACAUGAAGUUGGAAUUGCUAGUAAUGGCGAGUCAGCUACAUCGCCGUGAAUACGUUCCCGGGCCUUGUACACACCGCCCGU